RNAcentral lists this ribosomal RNA (498 nucleotides) under uncultured bacterium. RNAcentral's name for it is "bacterial SSU rRNA". It matches the Rfam family "Bacterial small subunit ribosomal RNA", at positions 9 to 507 of the family's 1533-position model. The record is from RNAcentral.
GAGUUUGAUCAUGGCUCAGAUUGAACGCUGGCGGAAUGCUUUACACAUGCAAGUCGAACGGCAGCACGGGGCAACCUGGUGGCGAGUGGCGAACGGGUGAGUAAUACAUCGGAACGUGCCCAAUCGUGGGGGAUAACGUAGCGAAAGUUACGCUAAUACCGCAUACGAUCUACGGAUGAAAGCGGGGAUCGCAAGACCUCGCGCGAAUGGAGCGGCCGAUGUCAGAUUAGGUAGUUGGUGGGGUAAAGGCCCACCAAGCCAACGAUCUGUAGCUGGUCUGAGAGGACGACCAGCCACACUGGAACUGAGACACGGUCCAGACUCCUACGGGAGGCAGCAGUGGGAAUUUUGGACAAUGGGCGCAAGCCUGAUCCAGCCAUUCCGCGUGCAGGAUGAAGGCCUUCGGGUUGUAAACUGCUUUGUACGGAACGAAAAGGUCCUGGUUAAUACCUGGGGCUCAUGACGGUACCGUAAGAAUAAGCACCGGCUAACUACGUG